Frieseomelitta varia is the source of this 703-nucleotide long non-coding RNA. RefSeq lists it as uncharacterized. The transcript is spliced from 5 exons. The record is from RefSeq and is a predicted model, not a curated record. Lineage: Eukaryota; Metazoa; Arthropoda; Insecta; Hymenoptera; Apidae.
AUUUCUUGCUUUGAUAUACAACGGUUAAGUAUUUGGAAGUAAUGCCGUUGGGAAACGCGGCUUAAGUGCCUGAGUACAGCGGCAUGAUAUAUCAGCGGCCGAUAAAGCAGAGACUCGAGAGGUAGUAUUCCGCGAAGAUGUCCUCGUAGACAGUGGUUUUGUUAUAUCGUGACGGUGUUUAGAAUUUCGUGCGAGAACGAGCCCCGGGAGCUCGUUGCCUGCAUCGAUGACGAAACCGAGGCGCAGAAGGAGAGAACUCUGGACUCGAGUCUGACUUGGUGGGAGCGGCCGAAGGCCGGCGUUUUGUAACAACGAACAUACCGGGCUCCGGAACGCCUACGACGAAAUUUCGGCGCUGCUCACGAUUCCUGCCAACUAUCCCCGAAACUUGAAAACACUCCAUCAAGAAUCCACAAAGAGACGACAACCUGCGUGACAGUCUACAUUCUGUUAUAUACACACCACAACCUCUAAGGUUGUCGACACGAGACCACAUUCCUGCGACGUGGUUGGCGAUGAUGCGGGAGAGGCAAGCACGUGCCGCUGCCUCCGCGUCUCUUGCUGCUCGAUUUGGCCGUCAAACGGGGCCGAGAAGCGCCGGCCGGGACGUUUCUUCUCUGGCGAGUAUUUGCAGUCCGUGGAUGAACAUCUCUCUACCUUGGCGUCUCUGCUUCUUAGUCUUCUUUGGAAAUGGGCCUUAACG